Molecule: unclassified non-coding RNA, 255 nt
Filed under: Hevea brasiliensis (rubber tree)
Lineage: Eukaryota; Viridiplantae; Streptophyta; Magnoliopsida; Malpighiales; Euphorbiaceae
Source: RNAcentral
AGUUGAGUUGAGUUGAGUUGAGGGUAAUAUCUGCAAGUGCAGCAUAGGGGUUGUGUGGCUAAAAUUCAGAAUAUGUAGGGAAAGACAACCAACCAGGCAUCACGUUUGGAUUUUUCUAAAAUUGAGUUUGAGCAGCUGCUGAGCUCUUGAUAAUUGUUACCAACUAAGCCUAAAGUAUUAGGUAUUUAUGUAUGGCCCAUUUGCAGCUCCACUCUCAAUAGAGGAUUUGAAAAGCAGGACAAAUUUUGAGAUGAU